This is a long non-coding RNA of Dama dama (fallow deer), 8152 nucleotides long. RefSeq lists it as uncharacterized. Lineage: Eukaryota; Metazoa; Chordata; Mammalia; Artiodactyla; Cervidae. The record is from RefSeq and is a predicted model, not a curated record. The transcript has 8 exons.
UGUCCACACCUUUCUUCUGUACUAGAUGUGUCAGAGAUCCUUUGGGGCUCAUCCAGCUGAAAAAGCUUCUGGAAUCUCCAGGUUUCAAGUCCUGGUGAAGCAGGAAGUGUUAGCCUGUACCUCUCCUCCUGAGCAAGCCAGAGAAUCUGUGAACCUGAGGCCCAGGAUCACUCAGUAAAGGGCAUGGCCAGGUUUGGGAAGGCUUUUGCCUCAUCAUCUGAUCUCCUGAGCUUGGUGCUCCCGGGUUGAAUAGGACUUGAAGAAAGAGCAAACCAAAUGUGCAUCAAAACCAAGCCAAACCUGACUGUGGGCUGAGUUCAAGAUAGAGCAUUCCGUUGCAGCUCCCCGUCAUUUGCUGUGUGUUUCUCCUAGUUAUGCAAUUAGAUCGUUUCCUGCCCCACUCCUCAACUUCUAGCUAAACUGAUCUUGUAGUGUUGUACAACGGCUCAGGUGGCUGCAUUUCUUUUGAACACUUUUUCUUUAAGGCUAAGGGAAUGCUGGAAGUUAGUUUUUGCCAUGUAAGACGAAAGAAAAAGCAAAGUCUCUCAGUUGUGUCCGACUCUUUGUGACCCCAUGGACUGUAGCCUACCAGGCUCCUCAGUCCAUGGAAUUUUCCAGUCAAGAGUACUGGAGUGGGUUGCCAUUUCCUUCUCCAGGGGCUCUUCCUGACCCAGGGAUCAAACCUGGGUCUCCUCACUGCAGGCAGAUACUUUACCAUCUGAGCCACCAGGGAAGUCCUGUGAGAUGAGGGAGUGGCAAACUAGCAGCCUGCAGCCUGAAUCUGAUCUCCCCUUGCCCCCUGCCUAGGGAAGUUUGGUAUUUUCAGUUCAGUUCAGUUCAGUCACUCAGUCGUGUCUGACGCUUUGCAACCCCAUGGACCACAGCAUGCCAGGCCUUCCUGUCUGUCACCAACUCCCAGGGUUUACUCAAGCUCAUGUCCACUGAGUCGGUGAUGCCAUCCAACCAUCUCAUCCUCUGUCGUCCUCUUCUCCUCCCGCCUUCCAUCUUUCUCAGCAUCAGGGUCUUUUCCAAUGAGUUAGUUCUUCACAUCAGGUGGCCGAAGUAUUGGAGUUUCAGCUUUAGUAUCAGUCCUUCCAAUGAAUAUUUAAGACUGACUCCUUUAGGAUUGACUGGUUGGAUCUCUUUGCAGUCCAAGGGACUCCCAAGAGUCCUCUCCAACACCACAGUUCAAAAGCAUCAAUUCUUUGGCACUCAGCUUUCUUUAUGGUCCAACUCUCACAUCCAUACAUGACUACUAGAAAAACCAUAGCUUUGACUAGGCUGACCUUUGUUGGCAAAGUAGCAUCUCUGGUUUUUAACAUGCUGUCUAGGUUGGUCAUAGCUUUUCUUCCAAGGAGCAAGCGUCUUUUAAUUUCAUGGCUGCAGUCACCAUCCGCAGUGAUUUUGGAGCCCUGGUAUUUUGGAGUUCUGGUAUUUUGAAAGAACUGGCAAUUAGUCAUUGCCAGUGUUGAAAACCAGAUGAGUUCAGUAAAAGUCUAGAUUUAUGACGUUGGAGGAAUUGGAAGGCUUGACAAUAGGAGGCCCUCAUCCCCACAUGGCUACAACCUGGACGAGGUGAGAGGUCACAGCCUGCCUCUCCCGGUUACCUCCCAGUCUCCCAGCUCAGCUACCUGCUCCAAAUUGUACACGCAGAGCCCCACCUCAGUAUUCGUGCAUUUGGGGCCAGAUCAUCCUUUUUUGGGGUGGGGGUUGUCCUGUCAGCAGCAUCCCCCAUCCCUCACCACUCAGCUCACCCCAGAGGAGACCAUCAAAAAUGUCCCCAGACAUUGUCCAAUGCCUAUGGCUUCAGUAGAUAGCAGCCAACGACGUUAGCUUCUGCAAGCUAAUGAAACAGUAUUGUAAGUUCUUACACAUUAGCCUUGUUCCUUUCUUAUGCUCAAAAUGUCACACUGGGGAGUAAUUUGCAGAGACUGCCCAGACUGUGUGCUUGUUUUGAAAUUCCUGACCAGGCUGGGACAUCCAGCCCUCCAGCCCUCUUAAAAUCACAGUCCAAUAUUAUUGGACCAUUAAUUGACACUAGAAGGAAUUUUAAAGAUCACAAUGUCCUCACUUUACAGGUAAGAAAAGUGAGUCCCAAGGAGAUGAACUGCCCCGCUCGUACAACUGGCUAAUGGCUUGAACACAAUCUAGAUCCAAACCCCAGCUUAACUAUUCUCUCCACAACAUCAAACACUUGAGCCAUAAAGAAAAAAUCUACGCAUGAGAUAGAGAUGUCCUGCUGACUGAAUUUAGCUACAUUUGCUUUUCUCAGUGACUUCAGGUCGAUUAUAAUUAUUUCUGUGUGCUGCUGUGACAUGCUGUCUCACCUCUCCAAAUAAACUGCCAAAGUGACCUUUUCAUUGCUUGGGGACCUGAAAGAAUAGGCUCCCCUUUGGAGUGCAGGCCCCUUAGAAGGAAGUCAGAGGGGGACUUUUCUGCCCUGUUUUAUUUGGGUGUCUGCUCUUGGAAUGUACAUCACCACACAAAGCAUGCCCCCGUGCUCUGCUUGGAAAAGAAAGAUGCAAGUAGGACUUUGGAGUUGGGUUAGGAUUCUUCAGUGGCAUCUUUGAGAAGCCCCCGUUUGACCUCUAGGGUGCUACAGAGGCAGGCAGGCUGUGCGGUUAGUCUGGGAGAGGAGGCAGCCUUGACAGAUGGUACCCGAAACUCCCACGGUCAUUUGCAUGGGUGUGAACAGUCAGCUUUCCCCCACCUCACAGCCUGUCCCUCAUCCCUCUCAACCCUAACCUGGGCCCUUCUUUGCAUACACGUGCUUUGCAAGGUGCCUGGUGCCAUCUGCAAAGUGACUCAUUUCCCCUAAGAAAACUGGCCUUGCUACUCAUCCUUACCAAGUUCUACUGGUGCCUGGGUGCUUUCCGAGAAGAGAAAACAUGCCAUUGGUGACCCUGGGGAAGGGUCUGGCAUUGAGGCGUUUCAUUUCUUCUCAUCUCCCCAAAUGUGCAGCAGCCUCCAGCCUGGGGGAUAACAAGGGACUUAGCAUGCAUGCACAGGAGAUAUACUGAGGUCCAGGCAGACAGGCAGCUGUCUGCUUUCUUGCUUCCUCUGAAUCCAAGAGAUGUUUUAUAUCCAUCUUCAAAGAAGUGUUCACUUAACCAAGGAGUAUCUGGUUAGCAAAGACUCUGUAGUUGAAUAAGUUUCUGGAUUUUUAAACUUUGGUUUCCAGAGAACCUUGUCACAGAGUGGGUUGAACUUUGAGGGGAGUGCUUUAUGUUAUUUUUUAUAACAAGGGGCAUUUCGUUUAUAGCUAGAUGCCUUACAGCAGUAAAUCAUCUGCUUACAAGUUUCAGAAGUUGCAAAGAGAAAUAAACCACAGCCCCACACUUUUAUUUCUCAUGCUUAUUUUCAAACACGUGACUUAAGAACAUGGGACUAUUUCUUUUGUAUUUUUCAAAUUUUUUCCUUUUUCUUUAAAAUCUGGGUCUUCAGUACCUCUUGGUGCCUAUUCAACACCUUCAGCCAACAAUUACCACCCCAGGCUCUGGCCUGAGUGUUCAUAUUUCAACUUUUGGUGGUUGUCAUUGUUAAGGAGCUGUGUUUAUAAUUCAGAUUUCAGAGCUGCAAGAAAUUGUCGAGGUCACAGAGUUCAGUCACCCUGUUUGGCUAAUGAAGAAGUGGAGACCUGAACGUGAAGUAUUUUGUUUCAGAUUGUGCAACUAAUCUCUAGAGAUGAAAGUAGAACCCAGACCCUCACUCUAGACCAGGUGCUAUUUUCAUGUAGGACAUUGUGACCCCCUUUCCUUCUCCUUAUUUCUGGGCCCCUUUCUUUGGGCUCUCUAGAAUGUAAAAUUAUUGGACAUAAAAUUAUAAGCCAUAAAAUUCCAAGAAGCCCUGUUUAAUCUGAGUUUUAUUUUUUUAAGCAGAUGGCAGCAGAUACUAACCCCAGCUGCCUUAAACAAUAGCCCAUAUCUUAUUGAUGGAAAUUCUCCAUGCCAAUCUUUAUUUAAUUCACUGUUUCCUAGGAUCUUCAUUCUUUCCAGCUGGUUAUUAAUUAUCAGGCAAUAUCCUCUUGAGUUGUCUCUACUUCUUAAUUACCUUAUUAAUUGUAUUCACAUAAAUUGAUCUCUCUGACAUUCUAACUCUGACUCACUGAGGAAAUAAGUCUAAUAUUCACAAGAGACUCCAACAAUCUCAUGACCUUAACUUAUUAUUUCCAUUAUGCAGACUGAUAUCACUAGAAGCCAGAUGAGACUGCUUUGCUGAACGGGCCUUUAUCCUAAUCAUAAUUAGAAUGUCCUUUAACAUUUCUCUCUUGCACACCUUUCUUGCUCAUUCAGAUAUACAUGAGACUUAUCAGUUCAUUUCCACCCUACCUGCACUCUUAAAUCUUUAACAAAGAAGGAAUUUCCUCUCUCAUAUUACCUUGCAGUAAUCCUUUAUUUGCAAUUCAAGGCAAUUAUAGGAGAAUAAACAUGAAUGUGUUUUAGCUCUUGGGUUUUUACUGUAACACUGCACCCUAAAGGCCUGAUGCCAAUUAAACAUUUAAAAACAAUUUUUAAGUCAAGUUUUUAUAUAUAAAGAUAGUCUCUUAAUGUGUGCUACUUGAGAACUCAUUUUUUUUCUUCGUGAUCGGGUACAUUACUGUUAACCCCACCCUUUGGCCCUGGUGCCAUUUAACUUCUAUGAAGUGAUAAGAGUAAACAGGUCCUUAUGUAAAAGUUGGUCAUUAUUCCAUACAGUUCCUUGGGUAUUUGUAUUAGAAAUGCUUGACUGGCAGGAAUUUAGAACUGAACACGAGAAUCUCCAUGAAAAAAACAAACCGAUGGAAAGGAGUUAGAGAAUUCCUGUGCAUGUUUAUUUGCAGUUGUGGGAAAAGUCAGCUCCAAAAUCUUAGAAGGAAGGAUAAUAUAAAUUUAAAAUGCCAGUAUUUUUCAUGGUGAGAAAAAUGGGUCACCUGGAUGCCAUAAAUGGACAGAUUUUAUUUUGGCUGGGGAUUCAAGGAUCCAAUUGAAUGGUCUACAUGAGUGAGUCUCUCCAUGUAUCUACACACUGCAGAACAUUCACCAGAGAUUCUCUCAGUUCAGCCGCUCAGUCGUGUCUGACUAUUUGUGACCCAGUGGACUGCAGCACACCAGGCCUCCCUGUCCAUCACCAACUCCUGGAGUUUACUCAAACUCAUGUCCAUCGAGUCGGUGAUGCCAUCCAACCAUCUCAUCCUCUGUUGCCCCCUUUUCCUUCUGCCUUCAACCUUUCCCAGCAUCAGGAUCUUUUCAAAUGAGUCAGUUCUCCACAUCAGGUGGCCAAAGUGUUGGAGCUUCAGCUUCAGCAUCAGUCCUUCCAACGAAUAUUUAGGACUGAUUUCCUUUAGGAUUGACCGGUUUGCUCUCCUUGCUGUCCAAGGGACUCUCAAGAAUCUUCUCUAACACCACAGUUCAAAAGCAUAAAUUCUUCAGCACUCAGCUUUCUUUAUGGUCCAACUCUCACAUCCAUACAUGACAGCUGGAAAAACCAUAGCUUUGAAUAUAUGGACCUUUGUCAGCAAAGUAAUGUCUUAACUUUUUAAUAUGCUGUCUAGGUUUGUCAUAGCUUUUCUUCCAAGGAGCAAGCAUCUUUUAAUUUCAUGGCUACAAUAACAAUCUGCAGUGGUUUGGGGGCCCAAGAAAAUAAAGUCUGUCACUAUUUUCAUUGUUCCCCAUGAAGUGAUGGGACUGGAUGCCACAAUCUUUGUUUUUUUUUUCUUUCCUAUGAAAAGCCCCCAAGAUGUUUUUAAUUUAUAGACAAGCACAUGUUAAAACUUAUAUAGAAAACCAAAAGAAAAAUGGACAUGUGAAGCUAAAUCAAUUUUAAAAAAUAUUAAGAAAAUAGAAGUACUUUAUCCAAUUUUGAGAUUUAAUGAUAGCUACAGUAUUCAAGAUAAUGUGGUAUUAGCAGAGGCUUAAAUACACAGAUCAAUAGGAUAACAUAAAGAACUCAGAACCAGACCAAAAAUUAAUAUGCCCAGCAGAUUUUUUUGUUUUUAACUAAGUUCAGUUUAGUAGAGGCAGGAUAGUCUUUUCAAUUAUUCAAUUGGUGCCAGAACAACUGAACAUCCUUAGGCAAAAAAAAAAAAAAAACCCACUACCUAAACUGCACGUGGUUAGUACAAAAAGUAACUCAACAUGUAUCAGAGAUUUAAGAACCCAGAGCUUGCUGAAGACUUCUUAGACAAGACGUGAAAAAACAUGAAGAGGGGCCUUCACAAUAAUGCCAUCAAUUAACACAACAGAAACGACAUGGCCUACAAUGGCCAUACAAAAACUAGACACGUAGUCAUUUGAAAGGCCCUGAAAAGGGUUCAGAGUGAAUACAUGAUUAUUUUUAUGUCUUUCUGUACAGUAUAUUUCUUAACGUGAGGUAAUACUAUCACAUGUUGCUUAAAAAAAUAAAAGGAAGGAAUCUCAAAAUACCCGGGCAAAUGAUAUUAGUCAUUAGUCCUUAUACUGGAACUAAGCCAAUGGCGACACUUUUGGAACUUACCUGUACCCUUACUGACACACGCUUAUUUCAGCCGUUAAAAUUCUAGUCACUUUACUUGACAGGGAAUCGUCAUGCAAUCUUUUGUAAGAUUAAAAAUGAGAUUCCUUCUCUGAAGGUAUUGUUAUCAUUUAGCUUAAUUUAGCUGUGUGUUUUGUUUUGUUGUGGCUGCAAUUCAACCUUGAGAAAAUCUCUGAUGUGUUCCGGAAGCCUCUCUAAGGAGGAAUCAGAGGGAAGAACUGGGAUUCAUCUGGGAAGGUUGCACAGUUACACUGUCCUCCUCACCUGACAGACAAAUAAAAAAGUUAGAAACAUGAGUGAACUUAGUAUUAUUUCCUUUUGUGGAUGUGAGCUGAACUGCUUUACAAAACUGAGUAUUUGGUACUAACCCAUUGCUGGGACAAAAGUUGUAUUGCCUAAAAUCGUGGCACAACAGUUGGCUAGACCACGGUCAUUGAGAAGUGCUCCGUGUCAUCUUCCACGUGUCAGGCUGAAAACACCAAAACAAAGAAACAGAUACCAAAAUACAAGAACUGAAUUUUAUCCUGCUCUCAUAUUUCAAAUGCAUUUCAAAGUUCGGUUCCAAAUAACUGUGAAGGGUUAUUGGCCAAUGGGUCAUACUCAGAGGUCCAUACAACCAAGUGCUGCAUAUCUCGCCAGGUGAGAUUUGGACUGGAGGAGGAGUGACCGAAAGAAUGUUCAGGGACAAAAAGGAGUUUCUUUGCAAAUGCAAGUGUUAAAAACAAGCAUCUCCAUUCGGAUGGAGCCCUCCCAAAGGGUGAAAAGACCAGAUAUCUUGAGACACAUCUAUAAUCCUACAGGCUAGGAAGUUCUAAUCUACAGGAAUGAAGGCCUGGGUUUCCAUCUGGUAUCAUUGUACCUCCGCUUAAAGGAUCUUCUCUAACAUUUCUUGUGCUGCAUAUCUGCUGCUGAUGGAUUUUUUCAGGUUUUGGUAAAGACCUAGGAUUGAAAGUGGUUGACUGGGGAGACCAAUGAAGACUUCUGGCUAGUGAAAAGAUAGUCAUGCUGGUAAAUAUAAGAAGAAACCAUUGGAAAUAUUAUUUCUGGAUUGGCUGCUACACAUAUAAGUUGCCAAAGAGCUGCCUCUUUCUUCAUAUUGCUGUGAACUCUGCAUUUUAUACUUUGGAGAACAUUCCAUAGUAGUACAAGAAGAACUUCCCCAUUGUUUUUGAUAGUUAUAUGGUCCAUAAUUUAUUUAACAAAUGCCAUAUUGAUAGAAAUUUAGGUUGCCUCCAAAAUAUUCUCAUUAGAUGCGAUACUUCUUUUUUUUUCAUUUAUUUUUAUUAGUUGGAGGCUAAUUACUUUACAAUAUUGUAGUGGUUUUUGUCAUACAUUGACAUGAAUCAGCCAUGGAUUUACAUGUAUUCCCCAUCCCGAUCCCCCCUCCCACCUCACUCUCUACCCGAUCCCUCUGGGUCUUCCCAGUGCACCAGGCCUGAGCACUUGUCUCAUGGGAUGUGAUACUUCUAUUAAAAACUCAGAGAUCAUUUUGCAUAUAUGCAAAUAUGUCUAUAAUAUAUAAUUCUAAAAAUUAUGUGAGUCAAAAGUUAGAUGCUCUUGUAAUUUUGAUAGCUAUUGAUGUAAAAACAGGAUAAUAGCACAGUUUAAUGAUGUAAAUAAAUAUCUUUUCUCUAUGAGCAUCUUCCCUAUUCAGAUAACACAG